GACCCAGACUCCUACGGGAGGCAGCAGUCGAGAAUCAUUCACAAUGGGGGGAACCCUGAUCCAGCGACGCCGCGUGAGUGAAGAAGUAUUUCGGUAUGUAAAGCUCUAUCAGCAGGGAAGAAGAUGACGGUACCUGAGUAAGAAGCCCCGGCUAACUACGUGCCAGCAGCCGCGGUAAUACGUAGGGGGCAAGCGUUAUCCGGAUUUACUGGGUGUAAAGGGAGCGUAGACGGUGAGACAAGUCUGAAGUGAAAGCCCGGGGCUCAACCCCGGGACUGCUUUGGAAACUGCCUGACUGGAGUGCUGGAGAGGCAAGCGGAAUUCCUAGUGUAGCGGUGAAAUGCGUAGAUAUUAGGAGGAACACCAGUGGCGAAGGCGGCUUACUGGACUGUAACUGACGUUGAGGCUCGAAAGCGUGGGGAGCGAACAGGAUUAGAUACCCCAGUA
RNAcentral lists this ribosomal RNA (447 nucleotides) under uncultured bacterium. RNAcentral's name for it is "bacterial SSU rRNA". It matches the Rfam family "Bacterial small subunit ribosomal RNA", at positions 328 to 792 of the family's 1533-position model. The record is from RNAcentral.